CCUACGGGAGGCAGCAGUGGGGGAUAUUGCACAAUGGGGGGAACCCUGAUGCAGCGACGCCGCGUGGGUGAAGAAGCGCCUCGGCGCGUAAAGCCCUGUCAGCAGGGAAGAAAAUGACGGUACCUGAAGAAGAAGCCCCGGCUAACGACGUGCCAGCAGCCGCGGUAAGACGUAGGGGGCAAGCGUUAGCCGGAUUUACUGGGUGUAAAGGGGGCGCAGACGGCGAUGCAAGCCAGGAGUGAAAGGCCGGGGCGCAACCCCGGGACUGCUCUUGGAACUGCGUGGCGGGAGUGCAGGAGGGGCAGGCGGAAUUCCUGGUGUAGCGGUGAAAUGCGUAGAUAUCAGGAGGAACACCGGUGGCGAAGGCGGCCUGCUGGACUGCAACUGACGUUGAGGCCCGAAAGCGUGGGGAGCAAACAGGAUUAGAUACCCGGGUAGUC
This 440-nucleotide ribosomal RNA is filed under the name uncultured bacterium. RNAcentral's name for it is "partial 16S ribosomal RNA". It matches the Rfam family "Bacterial small subunit ribosomal RNA", at positions 338 to 795 of the family's 1533-position model. The record is from RNAcentral.